This 333-nucleotide ribosomal RNA is filed under the name uncultured bacterium. RNAcentral's name for it is "partial 16S ribosomal RNA". It matches the Rfam family "Bacterial small subunit ribosomal RNA", at positions 338 to 668 of the family's 1533-position model. The record is from RNAcentral.
CCUACGGGAGGCAGCAGUGGGGAAUCUUGGUCAAUGGGCGCUAGCCUGAUGCAGCAAAGUCGCGUGGAUGAUGACUGCCCUAUGAUUGUUAAACUUCGUUUAUAUAGGAGUAAAGUGCAGAGUGUAUACGUCUUUGCAUCUACGUUAUGUAUCAGGAUAGGCUAGCUUAGUUCCAGCAGCCGCGGUGCGACGGAGGUUCCGUGCGUUGUCCGGAUUUAUUGGGUUUAAAGGGAACGCAGGCGGGCUGUUAAGUCAGUUGUGAAAGUUUGCGGCUCAACCGGAGAAGUGCAGUUGAUACUGGCAGACUUGAGUACAGAAGAGGAGGGUGGAACU